Molecule: ribosomal RNA, 253 nt
Filed under: uncultured bacterium
Lineage: Bacteria
Description: partial 16S ribosomal RNA
Rfam family: Bacterial small subunit ribosomal RNA
Source: RNAcentral
UACAGAGGUCUCAAGCGUUGUUCGGAUUCAUUGGGCGUAAAGGGUGCGUAGGCGGCGCGGUAAGUCGGGUGUGAAAUCUCGGAGCUUAACUCCGAAACUGCAUUCGAUACUGGCGUGCUUGAGGACUGGAGAGGAGACUGGAAUUCAUGGUGUAGCAGUGAAAUGCGUAGAGAUCAUGAGGAAGACCAGUGGCGAAGGCGGGUCUCUGGACAGUUCCUGACACUGAGACACGAAGGCUAGGGGAGCAAACGGG